RNAcentral lists this ribosomal RNA (889 nucleotides) under Didymella glomerata. RNAcentral's name for it is "partial large subunit ribosomal RNA". It matches the Rfam family "Eukaryotic large subunit ribosomal RNA", at positions 78 to 980 of the family's 3401-position model. The record is from RNAcentral. Lineage: Eukaryota; Fungi; Ascomycota; Dothideomycetes; Pleosporales; Didymellaceae.
CCGGGAGUAGUAACGGCGAGUGAAGCGGCAACAGCUCAAAUUUGAAAUCUGGCGUCUUCGGCGUCCGAGUUGUAAUUUGCAGAGGGCGCUUUGGCAUUGGCAGCGGUCCAAGUUCCUUGGAACAGGACGUCACAGAGGGUGAGAAUCCCGUACGUGGUCGCUAGCCUUUACCGUGUAAAGCCCCUUCGACGAGUCGAGUUGUUUGGGAAUGCAGCUCUAAAUGGGAGGUAAAUUUCUUCUAAAGCUAAAUACUGGCCAGAGACCGAUAGCGCACAAGUAGAGUGAUCGAAAGAUGAAAAGCACUUUGGAAAGAGAGUUAAAAAGCACGUGAAAUUGUUGAAAGGGAAGCGCUUGCAGCCAGACUUGCCUGUAGUUGCUCAUCCGGGUUUUUACCCGGUGCACUCUUCUAUAGGCAGGCCAGCAUCAGUUUGGGCGGUUGGAUAAAGGUCUCUGUCAUGUACCUCUCUUCGGGGAGAACUUAUAGGGGAGACGACAUGCAACCAGCCUGGACUGAGGUCCGCGCAUCUGCUAGGAUGCUGGCGUAAUGGCUGUAAGCGGCCCGUCUUGAAACACGGACCAAGGAGUCUAACAUCUAUGCGAGUGUUUGGGUGUCAAGCCCGAGCGCGUAAUGAAAGUGAACGGAGGUGGGAACCUUUCGGGGUGCACCAUCGACCGAUCCUGAUGUCUUCGGAUGGAUUUGAGUAAGAGCAUAGCUGUUGGGACCCGAAAGAUGGUGAACUAUGCUUGAAUAGGGUGAAGCCAGAGGAAACUCUGGUGGAGGCUCGCAGCGGUUCUGACGUGCAAAUCGAUCGUCAAAUUUGGGCAUAGGGGCGAAAGACUAAUCGAACUAUCUAGUAGCUGGUUCCUGCCGAAGUUCUCCUCCAGGAUA